GUAGGGUGCAAGCGUUAAUCGGAAUUACUGGGCGUAAAGCGUGCGCAGGCGGUUUCGUAAGUCUGUCGUGAAAUCCCCGGGCUUAACCUGGGAAUGGCGAUGGAGACUGCGAAGCUAGAGUUUGGCAGAGGGGGGUAGAAUUCCACGUGUAGCAGUGAAAUGCGUAGAGAUGUGGAGGAACACCGAUGGCGAAGGCAGCCCCCCUGGGUCAAAACUGACGCUCAUGCACGAAAGCGUGGGGAGCAAACAGGAUUAGACACCCUGGUAGUCCACGCCCUAAACGAUGUCUACUAGUUGUUGGGUCUUAAUUGACUUAGUAACGCAGCUAACGCGUGAAGUAGACCGCCUGGGGAGUACGGUCGCAAGAUUA
Molecule: ribosomal RNA, 370 nt
Filed under: uncultured organism
Description: bacterial SSU rRNA
Rfam family: Bacterial small subunit ribosomal RNA
Source: RNAcentral